CAUCUCCUAUCAGUCAGGGAUGAAGCAAUCCCUUGUUCAUCCCCAGCUUGGCUUUUGAUCUAUGCCUGGUUCAUGCCUUGGACACAUGG
Small nucleolar RNA from Gorilla gorilla gorilla (western lowland gorilla), 89 nucleotides. The record is from Ensembl. Lineage: Eukaryota; Metazoa; Chordata; Mammalia; Primates; Hominidae.